RNAcentral lists this ribosomal RNA (253 nucleotides) under uncultured bacterium. RNAcentral describes it as "partial 16S ribosomal RNA". It matches the Rfam family "Bacterial small subunit ribosomal RNA", at positions 524 to 776 of the family's 1533-position model. The record is from RNAcentral.
GACGUAGGGUGCGAGCGUUGUCCGGAUUUAUUGGGCGUAAAGAGCUCGUAGGCGGCUCGUCGCGUCGACCGUGAAAACCCGCAGCUUAACUGCGGGCUUGCGGUUGAUACGGGCGGGCUAGAGUUCGGUAGGGGAGACUGGAAUUCCUGGUGUAGCGGUGAAAUGCGCAGAUAUCAGGAGGAACACCGGUGGCGAGGGCGGGUCUCUGGGCCGAUACUGACGCUGAGGAGCGAAAGCGUGGGGAGCGAACAGG